UACGGAGGGCGCAAGCGUUUUUCGGAAUCAUUGGGCGUAAAGCGCGUGUAGGCGGCCAAUUAAGUCGGAUGUGAAAGCCCGGGGCCCAACCCCGGAACUGCAUUCGAUACUGAUUGGCUGGAGUCCCGGAGAGGAAGGCGGAAUUCCCGGUGCAGAGGUGAAAUUCGUAGAUAUCGGGAGGAACAUCAGUGGCGCAGGCGGCCUUCUGGACGGUGACUGACGCUGAGACGCGAAAGCGUGGGGAGCAAACAGG
Molecule: ribosomal RNA, 253 nt
Filed under: uncultured bacterium
Lineage: Bacteria
Description: partial 16S ribosomal RNA
Rfam family: Bacterial small subunit ribosomal RNA
Source: RNAcentral